AGUGUCCGACAUGUGUCGGACACGUUGGGGACAUGCUAAGGACACGUUAAGGAUACGCUGAGGACUAUUUUUUUAACAAACCUAAAGUUGAUAAAUUUGAUAAAAUUAAAUAUUUGAUACAAAAUACAUAUUAAAUAUUUAAAAAUCUGACACAUAAUAAAUAUAUAAAAUUAUAUUUUUUGCACGUGUCUCUAAUGUGUCGUGUCCUGCAUUUUUUAAAAAUUUAUGUGUCUAUCGUAUCAUGUGUCUGUGCUUCUUAGUUCUUCAUUAAAUUGUGUUUUAGGGUGAUACCAUGCAUAGCUGAUAAGUUGUCUGUCUACUUUAGUACUGAUAGUUGCUGAUGUUUCCUCCCAUCUAUUGUGAAAGGAACAGUUAGUAAAUAUUGCAAAUUAUCUUGGUUGAUUGAACUCUUCUGAUGGAUGAUGAGGUAGAUGUCUGAUUAUCUUUUGUACAUCCGAAGUAGAAGGUGCUCUUCUACUUUUGUCUGCCUUUUGUUUUGCCGGUCUUCGAGGUCUAAGACUUCUGUUAUUUAGAACGUGGAUCGUUUUGAUAUGUGGAACGAGAAUGGAAAUAGGGUACGCCACAUGUUUUAAAAUGUAAUAUAAUAGUUGUAAACUUGUAUAUAUUACAAUUGAGAAUUUAAGGUAUAUCUAGGGUAAUUUUCUUUGAACUAUUAGACAUUCAAUAAAUAUAGUUUUCAUGUAGCAAAA
Non-coding RNA from Camellia sinensis, 710 nucleotides. The record is from RefSeq and is a predicted model, not a curated record. Lineage: Eukaryota; Viridiplantae; Streptophyta; Magnoliopsida; Ericales; Theaceae.